UUGAAGAAACCAGAUGAUCCUGAAUCGGUGUCUGAUUCACUGUCUGAGGAGGAAUCUGUUCUUCUUGAUUGUUCAUCAACCUCUGCUCUCAGUGUGAGUCUCUAUUUCAACACAAUCUGGGAACACAUCAUUGAAGCGUCC
Long non-coding RNA from Haliotis rubra (blacklip abalone), 141 nucleotides. RefSeq lists it as uncharacterized. Lineage: Eukaryota; Metazoa; Mollusca; Gastropoda; Lepetellida; Haliotidae. The transcript has 3 exons. The record is from RefSeq and is a predicted model, not a curated record.